CGAUCUCGUUGAGCAUGCGCACGAUCGUCUUGCGGCGGCGGUCGAAGGCCUCGCGCAUCGUCGCCACGGCGUCCAGGUCGCCGGAGACCGC
RNAcentral lists this transfer RNA (91 nucleotides) under Nocardiopsis dassonvillei. Its description in RNAcentral is "tRNA-Arg(gcg)". The record is from RNAcentral. Lineage: Bacteria; Bacillati; Actinomycetota; Actinomycetes; Streptosporangiales; Nocardiopsidaceae.